This 337-nucleotide unclassified non-coding RNA is filed under the name soil metagenome. RNAcentral describes it as "partial contains 5.8S ribosomal RNA, internal transcribed spacer 2, and large subunit ribosomal RNA". The stretch from base 1 to 120 matches the Rfam family "5.8S ribosomal RNA", at positions 35 to 154 of the family's 154-position model. The record is from RNAcentral.
GAUGAAGAACGUAGCGAAAUGCGAUAAGUAGUGUGAAUUGCAGAAUUCAGUGAAUCAUCGAAUCUUUGAACGCACAUUGCGCCCCUUGGUAUUCCAUGGGGCAUGCCUGUUCGAGCGUCAUUUGUACCUUCAAGCUCUGCUUGGUGUUGGGUGUUUGUCUCGCCUCUGCGUGUAGACUCGCCUCAAAACAAUUGGCAGCCGGCGUAUUGAUUUCGGAGCGCAGUACAUCUCGCGCUUUGCACUCAUAACGACGACGUCCAAAAGUACAUUUUUACACUCUUGACCUCGGAUCAGGUAGGGAUACCCGCUGAACUUAAGCAUACCAAUAAGCGGAGGA